Molecule: long non-coding RNA, 1949 nt
Filed under: Homo sapiens (human)
Lineage: Eukaryota; Metazoa; Chordata; Mammalia; Primates; Hominidae
Description: HSALNT0355026
Source: RNAcentral
GGCAGCCCCUCCUGUCGCCGCGGGAGGCGCGAAGGCUGGGGUGGGGGGCGCGAGCCGUCCUGCGGGGUGGCUGCGAGGCUCGCACCGGCGAGGGCAGUGUGGGGGCGAGGGAGCCAGCGAGAGCGAGGAGCUGUGGGGAGUCGGCAGCAAACAGCCAGCAGGCUGCCACUUUGCUUUCUUUUUCUCGUUCUUUCUUUCCUAACCCCUCUUUGCAAAGCUGGAACUAUCCCGCGCGCCCCUGGGCCCAAGCCGCGGCUCCAGAUGUGGAUUUGUUUCCAGUGGGGAGAACGCGAGCUUCCCCCGGGCCUUGGCACAUUCUCCCACUCUGAGGUCAUUCCGUAGGUGGUCAGAGGGGAGCGCGCGCCGGGAGCCUUCCUCCCUCCAUCCACUGGGGAGGGAAGAGCGGCGGGUGGGAGGGAAGGAGAGGGAGAGGGGAGGGGCGCGAGGAGGGAGGGAGACGCCGCCAGCACACCACCAAGUGGCACCGAGCAGUGAUAACAAACUCAACUUAAAAAAAAAAAAGGGAAAAAGAAAAGGAAAAAACUUCCCCAAGUUGCAGCCCGAGACAUGCGGACGUGCGGGGCAGAGGCGCGGGGCAGGGAGUGCGGGUGGCCCUGAAACCCCCGGCGUCCCCCGGCUGCUUUCCCCGGCCACAGAGAGCUCAGACUCGAGGCCGACCAGGCCCUGCGCCUGUGCCUGGGCAGGAAAUGUGCUGGAGGCUGGCUCCGCUUCCCGCUGGAGACCCCGGGGCGGCCAGUUCCCGUGGGGGACAGGACCCCCCUGGAGCGGGGGCGGCCGAGAGACGCGCAGCACCCGCUUCAUCCCCAGCCACCAACAUCACCCCCCAUUCUCCCACCGCCGACCUUGCGGAUGUGGGUAGAUCCCGCCCGCCCAGGCCGAAGAGAACUGGGGUUUACAUGGGGGUGGGCGGGGUCUCUCCCCACACCUCUCUAUCCUCUCUGACGCCCCCAGACAUCUGAAAACAAGGCACCACCAUCUUCUGUAAUCGACUUUUUAUUAAGAUUAUAAAUUUAAACAAUCUGAACAGUUUUACCCGGUGAUAUACAAUUCAGUAUGCACAAAAAUACAGGGUAAUGAGGGAAAAGGGCCGAGAAAGGAAGGAUUGGCAACUCGUUUUGGAGUCCACACGGUGCUGAUGGCAGAGAACCAGAGGGGCUGCAGACGAACCCCACCUUUUUACAACAAAAGGCUUUUAAAUUAAACAAAUCUAUCGAGCUGAAGACACAGGACGGGGUUCUCACAGGCUCGAACAAUGCUGGUUUCAUGAAAUGCAACCGAAGGCUGAACCAAGGCAGUGCAACUUAGAAGCACACACACAAACACCACAGCUGACCAGGAACUUAGUGCAAAGUCUCCAACGCAGUCGGCGGUCCCGGCCCCUCCCUCCCCCGGGGCCGCCGGGGAUCCAGAGGGACUCGGGAGAGCGGAACGUCGGGCUUCCCGGGUCUGACAACUGAUUGGAAUCGGCUUCCCAGGUCCGGCGCCCUCCUGAGCUGCGCCCCCGGCGCGCCCCGGCGGCCAGGGCGCCCUGCCUCGCCCCCGGCUGCCCGGCACCUCCUCCGGGCAGCAGCCCUCCCUCACGUGGUAGGCUCCUCGCUAAACACCACUGCAAUCACUACAAUAAAAAGAAAAAAAGGAGUAGGAGAAACACAAAGCAUACUUAAAUAGGCGCUUUUUCUCUCUGCAAAAAUAAAGUCCAAGAUUUUAGAUUUCUUUUUUUUUUAUUUUACAAUUUAUAAAACAUCAGCCGCCUGCCCCCGCUCGCCCCCAGCUCAGCCCCGAGUGGCGGCCGGGGCGCGAGGGUCCCGCGGGCAGAGCGCAGCGGGCGCGGGCGGCGGCAGCGGCAGCGGCAGCGGCGCAGGACCCGGCUGCAGAGGCUCCAAGGGCUGCCCGCGGUGGGGCGCGCCGUGCGGCGGCUGGAGCGCGGC